This 274-nucleotide ribosomal RNA is filed under the name uncultured Staphylococcus sp. Its description in RNAcentral is "partial 16S ribosomal RNA". It matches the Rfam family "Bacterial small subunit ribosomal RNA", at positions 89 to 354 of the family's 1533-position model. The record is from RNAcentral. Lineage: Bacteria; Bacillati; Bacillota; Bacilli; Caryophanales; Staphylococcaceae.
ACGUUAGCGGCGGACGGGUGAGUAACACGUGGGUAACCUAACCUAUAAGACUGGGAUAACUUCGGGAAACCGGAGCUAAUACCGGAUAAUAUUUCGAACCGCAUGGUUCGAUAGUGAAAGGUGGUUUUGCUAUCACUUAUAGAUGGACCCGCGCCGUAUUAGCUAGUUGGUAAGGUAACGGCUUACCAAGGCGACGAUACGUAGCCGACCUGAGAGGGUGAUCGGCCACACUGGAACUGAGACACGGUCCAGACUCCUACAGGAGGCAGCAGAC